UUUCAGGAGGACUUCAAAGCCUUGAAGGCCUGAAGAUCUCUGGGAAGAGAGGAGGGAUGGUUGCUUAUUUGACUUGGAAGAGAGCGUUUCUUUUUUUGUCUGGAAGCCCAUAUUGGAAAAGAAGGAAAACUGAGGCAUUAAUCAGUAUCCCCACCAAAAACAUCUUAAGCUGGAAAACUGAAGAUGAAUUGGGACAAACUGAAGCAGACACACUAGAAAGAGACUCCAUGGAGUGAUUGCAAAUAGGAUCCAUAAAUAUAAAUUGCUGUAGCGCUUCGUCUUAGAGCUCAGUCGUUUGAACCAGUAAAUGGAACUGUUUAAUCUAACUUGGAUACUAGAAGAUAUUCAUAUAGUAGAAGACAGCCAUCAUUGAAGGAGCCCAAAAAGAAUGCAUUUUAAGUGGUGUUCUGAUGUACAUGAGCCAGUGCUAUUUUCUCUCCCUUCGGUGAUAAUUGAUUGUUAAAUGCAAUCAGAUGAGCAGAGAGAAUUGGAAGCAACAGAAGUAAUAAUAAUGAAGCGGCACGAAAACACCGAGUGGCUGCUAACACACAAGUUUAGGAUUACAUUUACUCUUCGAGUUCACAAAUAGUACAGCAUGAAUAAUAAAAGCAAAAAUGAAGUGUUGCAGCAAGAGGAGGGGAGAACAGCAUCUUGUCUGCUUGAU
Molecule: long non-coding RNA, 664 nt
Organism: Alligator sinensis (Chinese alligator)
Lineage: Eukaryota; Metazoa; Chordata; Crocodylia; Alligatoridae
Exons: 3
Source: RefSeq, a predicted model, not a curated record